RNAcentral lists this long non-coding RNA (487 nucleotides) under Chloebia gouldiae (Gouldian finch). RNAcentral describes it as "Erythrura gouldiae (Gouldian finch) lncRNA (ENSEGOG00005008670.1)". The record is from RNAcentral. Lineage: Eukaryota; Metazoa; Chordata; Aves; Passeriformes; Passeridae.
CAUUGCUCCCUGACACACUGACAACUCAUUGCUCUCUUCAAUGGAAGUUUUGCUUUCACAUAUCACAGAAGAACAUACUUUGUCUGUCCAAUAAGCAGCAGAAACAAGACUUCACUGACAGAGGUGAAUUAACCCAGAAAUAAGACUAACUUCAGUCUCCCAACAAGUUUUCUGUAACUUGUUUCUUCUGUGUAGGGCAUAAAGCAUACAAUGAAGCAGCAGGUCCCUGUACUUGUGCAAGUGCAAUCCCAUCGCUGUGCGUGCAGCUUAGCACCUGGCUCUACACGGGACUCCAACAUGCCCAAUGCACUUUUGAUGGAUGGUCUGCAAGAAAUUUAAAGCAUGGAAGAACUGCACAGGACUGGUCCUUCAAUCCACUGGUGAUUCAGAAUUUAUUUGUGAGAUCUCUGUUCUCCUAAACAGUCUGCAUCUGCAUAUCCAAUAAUUCUGACAAAUAAAUACAAAAAUAAAUAGGGAUCUGGCCUCA